Long non-coding RNA from Dromiciops gliroides (monito del monte), 695 nucleotides. RefSeq lists it as uncharacterized. Lineage: Eukaryota; Metazoa; Chordata; Mammalia; Microbiotheria; Microbiotheriidae. The transcript has 3 exons. The record is from RefSeq and is a predicted model, not a curated record.
CCUUGUUUUUACAGAGGAGGAAACUGAGGCCCAGAGAGGGGAAGGGACGCAGAAUCAGAGAGCUAGAGUGGAAAGUGACCUCAGAGGCUCUGAACAAAGUAUUUACUCUGUGCCAGGGACUCUGCUAAGCACUGGGGAGCCACAGUAAGAGAGAGACCCAGCUCUUGCCCUGGUGCAACUGACAGUCUCGUUGGAGAUGACUCGAUCGUAACCAGGGCUCAAUUCAGGGACUGCUUCCUCCAUGAACUUGCCCUGGGAUCUUGCAAAGAACCCUACCCUGUGAAUCCACAAGCCUUGGCUCUGAAUCCCAACUCUGCCAUCACUGUCACUAUAUGACCCUGGGCCCAGCUCCAGGACACUUUUUUUUUCCCUCCCAUGAUGCCCUCAGCAUCCUGAGACCCCCUGCUGGGAAUCUGAGAAUGCCUGGGGCCAUUGCUUUCUCUCUCCUGAGCAUUUUCUAACCUGUUCAAGUUACCUGUGGGGUAUCAUGGAAAAAACCUUGUGGCAUCCCUGUUGCAGCAGGAGUCGGGGGCCACUUAUCUUUUCUCCGGGUAAAAUGAGGUUCCUUCCAGCUCUGGCAUCCCAGGAUCCUCGAAUCCCUAGGGAAACACCCCGAGGCCUGAAGAUGGACUUCCUCCAUGAUACCAGCCAAAUCAUUUUAAUAAUUUAAUAAUAAUCCAAACCUUUGACUUCAA